GGACUACCCGGGUUUCUAAUCCCGUUCGCUACCUACGCUUUCGUGUAUGAGCGUCAGGAAUGGCCCAGCGUGCUGCCUUCGCAUUUGGUGUUCCCCAUGAUAUCAACGGAUUUCACCCCUACACCAUGAGUUCCGCACGCCUCUGCCACCCUCUUAGUUUUGCCGUUUCGAGCGCAUUCCACAGGUUAAGCCUGCGGGCUUUUACGCUCGACUAACAAAACCGCCUGCACACCCUUUACGCCCAGUGAUUCCGGGUAACGCUUGAGGCCUCUGUAUUACCGCGGCUGCUGGCAC
Molecule: ribosomal RNA, 294 nt
Filed under: uncultured bacterium
Lineage: Bacteria
Description: partial 16S ribosomal RNA
Source: RNAcentral